Molecule: long non-coding RNA, 3890 nt
Organism: Oreochromis aureus
Lineage: Eukaryota; Metazoa; Chordata; Actinopteri; Cichliformes; Cichlidae
Source: Ensembl
GGUGGGUAUGGGGUGAGAGUGAGAGGUGCAGACAGCGGCAUCCGGUCCUGCAGCAUGCUCUGCGCUGGUCUAGUUGACCCACCGUCUGCAUCGGGUGGGAGCGUUUGGGGGUGGGGUGGGGGGUAUAUCAGCCUGCAGUACACUGCAAUAGGUCUGGGCUGCUGGGGGAUUCCUGUGAUGCAUUGAGUAUUUCUUCUUCAAUCACCUUUUCCACCCAUAAUGUGUUUAUACACUUCUCUGCAUUUAAUCAUUAGUUAUUAUUAAUCUCUGGCUCUUAUCCACAACGUCUUUUGUCCUGUCUUCCUCUCCUCACCACAACCGGUAACAGUAGAUGGCUGUAGGUUUCCUCCUAUUAAAAGGGAGAUUUGCUUCCCGCAGUCACCAAAAGUGCUUGGUCAUAGGGGGCAAUAUGAUUGUCGGGGUUUUCUGUGCUUUCUUUGUAUUAUUGUAGGGUAUACCUUACAAUAUGGAGGGCCUAGAGACAAUUGUUGUUGUGAUUUGGUGCUAUAUAAAUAAAACUGAACUGAAUUUAACAUAUAAGCUGCAUUUACUGGCCCAUGAUUUAUUAUUUACUGUGAUGUUUAUGUGUAAGUAAUGUUACACACUAUAUUUCAGAUUUCACACUGGGCUUUGAGAAAAAGCAGGAGACAUAUUGCAUUUUAAAAUUCUUUCGUGUCUCUUAUUCACAAAGCUCAAUUGUUCAUUUUCACUUUAUUUUUUAAGCUAUUACUGACUAGAACUUUCACAAGUUUUCACAAGUGCAGUUAUUACUAUAAAAUCUUUUACAGAGGUUGUCACUCUCAAAUGACUGUCCCUUCGUCCAGAUAGGACCCCUGGAAAAUUCCGUCCAAACAGUGAUUGUUGGAGGAAAUGAGUCUUCGGAAGAUCACGGUUGAUACCACAGUGAAUUUCAUAAAUGUUUAAUAGCAACAGAAAUGUGAUGGAAAAAAUUGGAUCACAACACUUUAGAGCAUCCUUAAAAUAGACACUGCCCUUACUCUGGACCUCAACAAGUUGGAUGAAUAGUAGUUGAGAGGUGAAGGACAGAUACAACUGCAUUAUAAUGAUAUUUUGAAUUAAUAUUCAAAUAUUGGUCAUCAGUAAACUGUAGUAUUUAUUAUUCAUUCUACACUCUCUUCAAAUCUUUAAACUAAAGACAGCACUGUUUCAAGUACACAUGAUUGAAAUAAGCAUAUAUUUAUUAUAGUGUGUUUCUCUACAUUCACCACAAAUUACUCCAUGUUGUCUGCACCCACUGGAAGGCAGCACGGGGGUAAUACAAAACUCUGUCUUGUACACAUGUGAAGACCUGUGAGAACAUGUUUAGCACUGCUUGUUGCAUAUCGGGAAUUUCUGAAGAAGCAUAUUCAGUCUUGCCAUCAUCAACUGUGCAGUUCUCAUAGUCUGUAUGAGAAAAAAAAAGAAUUAGAAACUGUAGAAUGUGCUAUUGCAUUGUACAUUGUGCAUGACAUUGUGUUAUUCUGCUUACAUUAUAAUGUUAAGGAACUGCAGAGAAUAAAAUUACACAAAUCACUCUCACAGUACAUGUUAGCCUUCAUCAUUUUUUUCACAUCUUACCAUGAUCAGAACCAAAGAUCUGUGGUUUGUACAAGUAACGACAAUCUGCUUGUAUCUCAAAUGCCUCCAUCUCAUCAGCAGUGAUGGACGUUCGCUUACCUGUUUAAAACAUGCCACAUUUAAGAUGGAAACCAUAUGAUGGACUAAACUAUCAGUGUAAGCUUCACCCUUUAUAACAACUAUAUUGAUUAAAUGUCAUAAGCUGUUAUAUAAAAACCUGCUAGAUAAGGCAGGUAAGAAAGUGCUGUAAAACAUCUGUAUUGGAAAUAUUUUCUGUCAUCACUCAGACUGGUGGUACGAAAUGAAUUAUCUGAACAUAUUAAACAUAACAUGAAACUUAGUUUUCCUGAGGACAAAUUAUAUUGAUUAUGAUCCCGUAACUUUUCCUCUUGUCCCAUCAGGUGGUCACUUUGGUUAUUUAUGCCUGCCAGACUACUACACUUCACAACUGUAGUUAGUGCUAAUUUCAUUUUUCUCACUUAUAUCUCAGUCAGCAUCCUGUGUUUGCUUUUAAUAAACAAAUGCUGUCUGUAUGCUUAUAUCCUGAAUAAUUAGUAUGGUUAUCACUGUGUCAGUAUACACCGUUUCUAUCAGUUGCUCCUAUUUGUGAACUUUUCAUGUAUAUAAAUUAUAUCAUCACCAUUCAUCAUCAUAUUUUUGGGUAAUCUUGCAUCCACAUUUUUUGUAGAUAUUAGUGAAUGAGAUCCAAUUUCAUCUUACUCUGCUGGUGUUAUGAGUGAUUGCAGUACUGCAACCUUUAUAUCUUCAAUUUACCUCAUUGCACAUCUCACUCUAGAAAUAUUUUUUUUAUCACUUCCUACACUGGAAAAUGAUGAAUAAUGACUAGACAAGGAUGUUAGUCCCCAUUAAACAUAGUUAUUCUUCCUGAGUGCAUCAGCAGGAUGUCAGACUGUCUAUUUUAGCAAAUUUCACCAUUAUUUGAAGUAUUUGACAUAUUUUCUUAUCACAUCUGUCUGGUUCCUUACUUAAAAGCACAAGAAUCUCAAUGUAGCCAUCCGACUUCAUAACGAUACAAUCAUGGCACCUCCUUUGAAGAAGUAUCAUUACAUUAUCCCUUUUGGCACCUGUUGUAAAAAGAAGAGUAAUUAAAAUACAUUUAACAUUUGAGAUGAAAUUUUUAACAUCAGAAUUAUAGUAUUAUAGUUCACAAGUGAAGAUUAUUAUUUACACAAGUAAAAAAUGUGGAAAAAGUUGAAGAAGACAAAAGAUAACAAAACUAGUAUGCUACAAAUUCUUUGAAAGCUUAAAAAUUAAACAUGUAUAUGAUUUUUAUAUCUUUAUAUAAUUUUCUCUUUUAGUCCUUUUAUGUUCUGAUUGAUCAUUUUGUGAAUGUUAAUAAGUUUGAACAAAUAAUUAAUCUGCAGUUAAAAGGUUUGAUAGUGGCUGGAAGAAGCAGACACAAAGAAAUCCAUAAUUAAACUCCACUGACACAAAUGUUUUCACCAAAACUCUUACCUGUGCUGUCAAUCUCAGUUACGGUGCUGUUCCCGUAGUGAAGUUUUGCAGUUAAAUUUUUACACUGCCCAAACCUGAUUUAAUUAGUAGUCAAAAGAUUUAAAGAAUGAAAAAAAAAAUUAAAUGACAAAAUAAGUUAUGAAGCACAAACACUGGACAACAUACUUAUAAAUGCUGUUUAUACUGUAAGAAAAUUAGUUACAUUUUCACUGAAAAGGUGGCUUCAUAGAUGUUUGCUUUUUCCAUUGCCGCAAUGUCCACAGAGGUACUGAAAGGCAGGACACUGAAUGCAGUAGCCCAGCAGCUGUUUGAGGACAUGGCUAUAACGUACCAUUUCCCAGUCAGCUGAAAUGCAGACAUUGUUUGUUUGUUCAUUCGUUUUAUUAGUUUUUGUCUUUUGCUUUGCAAAUGUUUUGCACUAGUCAGACACAUUUAACACUAUUCAUGAAAUAAAAAUUUGCAGAAAUCGAUUACAUAGGUUCAGUUUCAUUUUACUUUAAUAUCAGUUUCAAAACUAUAAUGUUAGCUAUAAAGGUUUAAAAGAGACUUACAUCUUGAUCACUAUCUGCUGUUUUUAGAUACCUCUCACAGGCCACUGAUGCAGGCUGGCACACAGAAAUGAAAUUCAGCACAAGAACAGCGACACAAAAAGCUUUCAUCUUUGCUCAGUAUGAGUUCACUUCUGCUGAUUCUUCGUCUUCUUCGGGUUUAAACUGACCGGUUAGUUUUCUGCCACAGUCACCCACCCCUAUUUAAGAGGAAAUAAAGUGAAUGACCUCAAAUGCCAUCAUUUCCAGCAACGACCACAUUUACCAAACACCAUCUAGGUCACAAAC